UGCCAGCCGCCGCGGUAAUACGGAGGGGGCUAGCGUUGUUCGGAAUUACUGGGCGUAAAGCGUGCGUAGGCGGACUGGAAAGUCAGAUGUGAAAUCCCGGGGCUCAACCCCGGAACUGCAUUUGAAACUAUCAGUCUAGAGUUCUGGAGAGGUAAGUGGAAUUCCUAGUGUAGAGGUAAAAUUCGUAGAUAUUAGGAGGAACACCAGAGGCGAAGGCGGCUUACUGGACAGAUACUGACGCUGAGGCACGAAAGUGUGGGGAGCAAACAGGAUUAGAUA
This 279-nucleotide ribosomal RNA is filed under the name uncultured bacterium. RNAcentral's name for it is "partial 16S ribosomal RNA". It matches the Rfam family "Bacterial small subunit ribosomal RNA", at positions 506 to 784 of the family's 1533-position model. The record is from RNAcentral.